This 268-nucleotide ribosomal RNA is filed under the name uncultured bacterium. RNAcentral's name for it is "partial 16S ribosomal RNA". It matches the Rfam family "Bacterial small subunit ribosomal RNA", at positions 524 to 784 of the family's 1533-position model. The record is from RNAcentral.
UACGUAGGGCGCAAGCGUUGUCCGGAAUUAUUGGGCGUAAAGAGCUCGUAGGCGGCCUAUUGCGUCCGCUGUCGGAAAUCCCCAGGGCUUAACCCUGGGCCUGCAGUGGAUACGGGUAGGCUGGAGGCAGGCAGGGGAGAACGGAAUUCCCGGUGUAGCGGUGGAAAUGACGCAGAUAUCGGGAGGAACACCGGUGGCGAAGGCGGCGACCUGGUAGAUACUGACGCUGAGGUGCGAAAGCGAUGGGGGAGCAACAGGGAUUAAGAUG